ACGUGAAUGAAGGUUCAGAAUCUUCACCUCCCUUCUUACGAGCGGCGACGGCGGCGGUGCGAAUGGCUUCCUCUUCUCCGAUCCUCACUCCUCACGACAGCGGCGCCCUCAAUAAACUCCCUUCUCCGGUCUAGUUUUCUCGAAAUCUCUCCGAUUCACUUCUCUCGCGGCUCAAUAUUUCGCUCUCGAGUCUCUGUUUUUCGUUUCGGAUUGCGUGGAUUGUGAUGUUAUCCUGUUGAUGAUGAAGACUGAAAUUGCGGUUUGGCGGAGGUGAUUGAGACGCGUGAAGUGUUGAAGACGAACGAUGAUGAACGGAGUUGAUGUGGUUGUUGUUAUGAAGCGUGAAGAGAGGAAUGGCGACUCAAUCGUGAGACGAUGAUGAAUGUAGCGCUAUUGCGACAUUCUCGAAGAUGCGGAAUCGCAAAAUCAUGUGAUUAUAGAGUGCUGCGGUUUGAUGACAUCCACGAUGAGAAAUUCAAGGACGAAUGAUGCGCGAUGAACCUUUCCACAAAUCAAUGAACACUGAGACUCGAUGAUUGAAGAUUUUUCUGUGGAUAGAGAUGCAGAAUUGUGAUGAGUUUCUCGUGUAACUGCUUCUGUUAGGAUCUUUUCUUGGUUUUCAAGGAUGAAGAAUGGAGAGAGGGAAGAUCGGUGAUGAUUAUGAAGAGAUGGUGAAGUGAUGGAGGUUGAAUGAUGGUGGUGGUUAUGGAGCGUGAUGAAUGGAAGUGAAGGGAGAGUGAAGAUGAUGAAUUGAAGAAUGAUGAAGAUAGGAGCAGAAUCGAGGAAAAAAAAUGGAGAGGAAGCGUGAAUGAAUCCAGGUUCUGACUUUAUAGCUAUGAAGGUUUCACCAUUGGUGUGGUAACUUAUGUUUAUCUCAAGGAGACUUGGAGAGUUGACACCAAAGAAAUUACUUGAAGAUGGGUGCCCUAUGAAGCCUGAAGAACCGGUUGGAAACUAUCGGUCAACUACUGCCCAAGGUCUAGUCAACAGCUCCAAAGUCAAUGGUCAACAGUUGACCAAAAGUCAACUAUAGCACUUUAUCUUCCUUUUUUGUAAUCCUUGUUGUAAAGCU
Vicia villosa (hairy vetch) is the source of this 1072-nucleotide long non-coding RNA. RefSeq lists it as uncharacterized. The transcript is spliced from 3 exons. Lineage: Eukaryota; Viridiplantae; Streptophyta; Magnoliopsida; Fabales; Fabaceae. The record is from RefSeq and is a predicted model, not a curated record.